Molecule: unclassified non-coding RNA, 387 nt
Filed under: Zea mays
Lineage: Eukaryota; Viridiplantae; Streptophyta; Magnoliopsida; Poales; Poaceae
Description: misc RNA Zm00001eb100510
Source: RNAcentral
CCCCCCCCCCCACGACCUCAACCGCUCUGCCAGAGUCAACACCGUCCAGCUCCGGUCACCGGUUCAUGGAGGCGGCGGCGGUACUCCUUCGGCAGGCAAAGGAGCAAAGUUGGAGGCGACGAGGGUCCAGAUCCGGUCGCCGGCGUCCAUCCGGGGUUUGGAAGCGCCGCGGCCAGCUGGAGAUGUCGCCAGCCAACUCUCGGGCUUCCUCUCCUCCAUCCCCGAGAUCGUCGCUCGUGGAGAUCUCGCCAGCCAAUGCCCGGGUGAGAAACAGGUGCGUCUGCUCAUCAUCUUUGUGUAGGCACCCUUCGUUCUCCACGGAUGCUCGCGACACAAUCGAAGAAACUACUCUCCCUCUCCACGACCACGUCCUCCACUCCCCCCCCC